Molecule: ribosomal RNA, 253 nt
Filed under: uncultured bacterium
Lineage: Bacteria
Description: partial 16S ribosomal RNA
Rfam family: Bacterial small subunit ribosomal RNA
Source: RNAcentral
UACGAAGGGUGCAAGCGUUACUCGGAAUUACUGGGCGUAAAGCGUGCGUAGGUGGUUCGUUAAGUCUGUCGUGAAAGCCCCCGGCUCAACCGGGGAAGUGCCUCUGAUACUGGUCGCCUCGAGGGAGGUAGGGGCGUGCGGAACUUCCGGUGGAGCGGUGAAAUGCGUAGAUAUCGGAAGGAACACCGGUGGCGAAAGCGGCGCGCUGGACCUCUUCUGACGCUGAGGCGCGAAAGCCAGGGGAGCGAACGGG